RNAcentral lists this ribosomal RNA (492 nucleotides) under uncultured bacterium. RNAcentral's name for it is "partial 16S ribosomal RNA". It matches the Rfam family "Bacterial small subunit ribosomal RNA", at positions 29 to 507 of the family's 1533-position model. The record is from RNAcentral.
AGUGAACGCUGGCGGUAGGCCUAACACAUGCAAGUCGAACGGCACCACAGUAAGAGCUUGCUCUUACGGGUGGCGAGUGGCGGACGGGUGAGGAAUACAUCGGAAUCUACUUUUUCGUGGGGGAUAACGUAGGGAAACUUACGCUAAUACCUCAUACGACCUACGGGUGAAAGCAGGGGAUCUUCGGACCUUGCGCGAUUGAAUGAGCCGAUGUCGGAUUAGCUAGUUGGCGGGGUAAAGGCCCACCAAGGCGACGAUCCGUAGCUGGUCUGAGAGGAUGAUCAGCCACACUGGAACUGAGACACGGUCCAGACUCCUACGGGAGGCAGCAGUGGGGAAUAUUGGACAAUGGGCGCAAGCCUGAUCCAGCCAUACCGCGUGGGUGAAGAAGGCCUUCGGGUUGUAAAGCCCUUUUGUUGGGAAAGAAAAGCAGCAGGUUAAUACCCCGCUGUUCUGACGGUACCCAAAGAAUAAGCACCGGCUAACUUCGUG